This 64-nucleotide transfer RNA is filed under the name Clinterocera nigra. Its description in RNAcentral is "tRNA-Asn". Lineage: Eukaryota; Metazoa; Arthropoda; Insecta; Coleoptera; Scarabaeidae. The record is from RNAcentral.
UUAAUUGAAACCAAAAAGAGGUAUAUCACUGUUAAUGAUACCAAUGAGAAAUUCUCCAAUUAAA